Molecule: ribosomal RNA, 497 nt
Filed under: uncultured bacterium
Lineage: Bacteria
Description: partial 16S ribosomal RNA
Rfam family: Bacterial small subunit ribosomal RNA
Source: RNAcentral
GAUGAACGCUGGCGGCGUGCCUAAUACAUGCAAGUCGAGCGAACAGAUGAGGAGCUUGCUCCUCUGACGUUAGCGGCGGACGGGUGAGUAACACGUGGAUAACCUACCUAUAAUGCUGGGAUAACUUCGGGAAACCGGAGCUAAUACCGGAUAAUAUCUUGAACCGCAUGGUUCAAUAGUUAGAUACGGUUUUUCUGUCACUUAUAGAUGGAUCCGCGCCGCAUUAGCUAGUUGGUAAGGUAACGGCUUACCAAGGCAACGAUGCGUAGCCGACCUGAGAGGGUGAUCGGCCACACUGGAACUGAGACACGGUCCAGACUCCUACGGGAGGCAGCAGUAGGGAAUCUUCCGCAAUGGGCGAAAGCCUGACGGAGCAACGCCGCGUGAGUGAUGAAGGUCUUCGGAUCGUAAAACUCUGUUAUUAGGGAAGAACAAAUGUGUAAGUAACUAUGCACGUCUUGACGGUACCUAAUCAGAAAGCCACGGCUAACUACGUG